AUCUGGCUGAUGGGUCAAAAAUAGGACGAAACGCGCGUCUUGGAG
RNAcentral lists this non-coding RNA (45 nucleotides) under Schistosoma margrebowiei. The record is from RNAcentral. Lineage: Eukaryota; Metazoa; Platyhelminthes; Trematoda; Strigeidida; Schistosomatidae.